UGGGGUAUAGUGUAAUAUGCACAGGAGUUUUUGGUACUCUAAGAGGGCAUUUAAAUCUGCUCUACCCUAA
RNAcentral lists this transfer RNA (70 nucleotides) under Nipponacmea nigrans. RNAcentral describes it as "tRNA-Gln". Lineage: Eukaryota; Metazoa; Mollusca; Gastropoda; Lottiidae. The record is from RNAcentral.